GUUCAAGACCAGCCUGGCCAAGAUGGUGAAACCCCGAUGAUAAUAAGUAGUAGUACCUACUUGUAGGUCACUGUGAAUAUUGAAACCAUAAUUGAUGUAAAAUGCCAGGCUUCUAGUAGAUGUUUGAUGCACAGUUCCUCCCUCUUUACAAAUUAUGAAAUUCCUGGAAUUUAUGUUUUUAUUUUGAGAAGUUAACAUCUGUUCAUAUGUAUUUCGUUUUUAAUCUUUAGGACUUCCUUUUUAGGAAGAGAAAUACAAGGCUUGCUUCGGUCAUAUGCCCACACAGUGAUUAAACUAGGAUUAAAAUUUAGUUUUGAAUUUGGAGUCAAAAGUGGUUUUUCUGCUUCCCUACUGCUUUAAGAGCUCUUUGUCACCCUGAUUUAAAAACGCUUCCUAUGUUGUUACUGCCCCUGUAGGUACAAAUAGGCUUCAUCUCUGUUUAUUGGGUCCAUGAGGGCCAACUUUCCAGGGAAAUAAAACAGCUCACACACAGCUUUUGCCUCCAGUUGGUUUAACAGGUGGGACUCUACAAUGAUAGCACUUGGUAAGAUUCCUUUAAAAUAAAACAAGCCAUAAAAAUGACCCUCAGCAGAGUGGUCUUUUAAUGAAUUUUAUGCAUAAUAUGGAUGAUUGAAGCAGGCUUUGUAGUGUGUGUGUGUGGCAAGGGAGGGGCAGCUGAUGGUGGAAACUGCUUAGGAUGCAGGAGAUCAGAACAGGCACUGGUGACGUGCCCUUUCUGCCAUGGCUUCCCAAUCGUAACGGCCCUUCCUGUAUUCAGUGCACCUUGCAUCCGAAUCUUUUUCUGAGUCCCAUCUGAUGUGACUCCUUCCUUAUUUGAGCCAUGAGAGUAUUUUGGAUUUGGCAUUGUUCUGGGAUUUACAUUCUGCUUAAUGUUGUAUGUAUCAUUCAGGGUUCUGGUAAGAGACAGAUUGAAGUUGGUAACUAAGGCAACCAGGUAACUUAAAGAACUGUUUACAAAGAUGUGGGCGGGUCUUGGGAAAUCAGCGAGGAAGAGUAAAGUUGCUGAGCCAGCUGUACUAGAUGUGGAGGGUCAAGGGGGAAGGAAGGAGCAGAACCCCAAAAGAGUGGCUGUGGAGCAGGGGCUGCUUGGCAGCAGGGAAGGAGGAGCUGUGGCCUUCAGUUGAAGGACUCAGCCAGCCUACAGUGAACCUGAGUGGGGGCUGUGGUCAGGAAAGCAUGCCCCUGCCUCUCACUUCUCCUAUCCUUUCAUCUCCUGCUGGGGUCUACUUCAGAGGACAAGUUGGAGCUUUGGGGGAACAGAAUAGAGAGGAGAGUGGAUCUGGAUUGCAUUUAAAUACAAUCCAGAACAUUGGGGUUACUUCAGUAUUACUUAUUUCUCUACCUGAUGAAUACAAUUAAAAACCCUUGUCGUCAGACUCCUUUAUGCACAUUCUUAUUUUGUGUCUUUAUUCUCAGUCAUGGAUUUUGAAAGCAUAGUUGAUUUCCUAAUUCCAGUUCACUUUUAAAACUAUUCUAAUCAUGCUUCUGUCUCUGACACUUGCAGCCAAAUCCAGUGGCAAAUGUUGAGACAUACAGCACUCAUCAGUUACUUUCUUGCCUAAAACUCUUCACAGCUUCCAUGUUGCCGAGCCAUUGUGGUGCUUUUUUAAAGUGUAGCUCUGAGACCACUUGUGUGAAAAAUCACUUGAGAUUGUUAUUAAAAAUAUACAUUCCUAGGCUCUACUCAGUGAGGGACAGGGAGUCUGCAUUUUUGACAGGGCUCCUACUUACCCCCACCCCUGACCACCAUCACAGAUAAGAGACUUGGGCCAAAGUUUUUAAGCUCUCCAUAUUAUUAAAAGUUUAUUAAAAUGGAUUGUAUUUUUUUUUUUUUUUACAAUGCUUAUAUUUAACACGUUAACAUGUACCCACUAAAAUAUAACGCAGUGCAAUUGUGUUGUUGACAAUAUAGUCACAAGAUUUGGGAAAAAUAAAAUUCAUAGUGCCUUCUGCUGUAGGCAGUUUG
Molecule: long non-coding RNA, 1987 nt
Organism: Sapajus apella (tufted capuchin)
Lineage: Eukaryota; Metazoa; Chordata; Mammalia; Primates; Cebidae
Exons: 2
Source: RefSeq, a predicted model, not a curated record